UGUGUUACAUCGAUGAUAUAUAUG
Molecule: non-coding RNA, 24 nt
Filed under: Arabidopsis thaliana (thale cress)
Lineage: Eukaryota; Viridiplantae; Streptophyta; Magnoliopsida; Brassicales; Brassicaceae
Source: RNAcentral